Long non-coding RNA from Cydia amplana, 205 nucleotides. RefSeq lists it as uncharacterized. The record is from RefSeq and is a predicted model, not a curated record. NCBI's taxonomy places the organism in Eukaryota, Metazoa, Arthropoda, Insecta, Lepidoptera, Tortricidae. The transcript is spliced from 2 exons.
UGUGUGCGUUGCAGCAAAACAAAAGGGUUCUGGCUCAUCUCUAUUGUUUCCCAUAAAGUUUUAAGUCCUAAUGUAUUGUUUGUCCGCAUUUUCGUUAGUCAUAAUUUGGUUUUUCUCAGAAACGCGUAACUUUUCCGGAUUGCCAUAAAACAAACCUAACCUAACCUAUCUAUAGGAUAACCUUAGGAAAUUCCUGAAAAGUUAA